CCUACGGGAGGCAGCAGUGAGGAAUAUUGGUCAAUGGACGAGAGUCUGAACCAGCCAAGUAGCGUGAAGGAUGACUGCCCUAUGGGUUGUAAACUUCUUUUAUAAAGGAAUAAAACGAGGCACGUGUGCCUUUUUGCAUGUACUUUAUGAAUAAGGAUCGGCUAACUCCGUGCCAGCAGCCGCGGUAAUACGGAGGAUCCGAGCGUUAUCCGGAUUUAUUGGGUUUAAAGGGAGCGGAGAUGGGUUGUUAAGUCAGUUGUGAAAGUUUGCGGCUCAAACGUAAAAUUGCCAUUGAUACUGGCAGUCGUGAGUACAGUUGAGGUAGGCGGAAUGCGUGGUGUAGCGGUGAAAUGCUUAGAUAUCACGAAGAACCCCGAUUGCGAAGGCAGCUUACUAAACUGUGACUGACAUUGAUGCUCGAAAGUGUGGGUAUCAAACAGGAUUAGAUACCCCUGUAGUC
Molecule: ribosomal RNA, 460 nt
Filed under: uncultured bacterium
Lineage: Bacteria
Description: partial 16S ribosomal RNA
Rfam family: Bacterial small subunit ribosomal RNA
Source: RNAcentral